AAGUCGUAGGUGAACCUGCGGAAGGAUCAUUAACACGUAUCCAACGUUAAACAACCCUGUGAACUUUCAACCGCUCUUGUAGCCCACGCGGAACAGCAAUCCCGGUAAAUCAAUUGGAGGGACCUCUGUCCAUCAGGCUACAAUCGAGCUAGGAGCAGUGGCAUGGUUUCCCUAAGCAGUGCAGAAGGAUCCACUGAGUAAGGAUAACGCCUCACGGUUGCCAGAGGUCGAUCACCGGCCGGCAGACAUGUCACAGGGCUAUAUGCCCCCUCAUUCACACCUUGCCCUAUCUGGCCCCACGGAAACGUUGGGGCACAAACCGAACAACUGUUAACAAUGGAUAUCUUGGUUCUC
RNAcentral lists this unclassified non-coding RNA (354 nucleotides) under fungal sp. RNAcentral's name for it is "partial internal transcribed spacer region". The record is from RNAcentral. Lineage: Eukaryota; Fungi.